This 467-nucleotide ribosomal RNA is filed under the name uncultured bacterium. Its description in RNAcentral is "partial 16S ribosomal RNA". It matches the Rfam family "Bacterial small subunit ribosomal RNA", at positions 28 to 506 of the family's 1533-position model. The record is from RNAcentral.
GACGAACGCUGGCGGCGUGCUUAACACAUGCAAGUCGAACGGAAAGGCCCUGCUUUUGUGGGGUGCUCGAGUGGCGAACGGGUGAGUAACACGUGAGUAACCUGCCCUUGACUUUGGGACAACUUCAGGAAACUGGGGCUAAUACCGGAUAGGAGCUCCUGCUGCAUGGUGGGGGUUGGAAAGUUUCGGCGGUUGGGGAUGGACUCGCGGCUUAUCAGCUUGUUGGUGGGGUAGUGGCUUACCAAGGCUUUGACGGGUAGCCGGCCUGAGAGGGUGACCGGCCACAUUGGGACUGAGAUACGGCCCAGACUCCUACGGGAGGCAGCAGUGGGGAAUAUUGCACAAUGGGCGGAAGCCUGAUGCAGCAACGCCGCGUGCGGGAUGACGGCCUUCGGGUGGUAAACCGCUUUCGCCUGUGACGAAGCGUGAGUGACGGUAAUGGGGAAAGAAGCACCGGCUAACUACGG